This is a non-coding RNA of Xyrichtys novacula (pearly razorfish), 2119 nucleotides long. Lineage: Eukaryota; Metazoa; Chordata; Actinopteri; Labriformes; Labridae. The record is from the annotation of a GenBank genome assembly.
GCUAUAGAGUGGCGUCUUGGUUGAGGUUUGUUUUAUGGCUCCUCAGACUGCUGUGUAUUGCUAUCGUGCGGUCGUUACUAAAGUUGGUAUAACUAGAAAAUCAAGCUGUCGGCAACAUUCAUCUCUCAAGGGGGUGUCUAAUUCAGUGUUACGUCGUGUUUGACCCUAAAUUUUACGCCGGAAUAUCCCUUUAAGACGCUCUUAGGCUGUAUCUAUUCCAGAUAAUGCUGACUGGGGUAAAUCUCCUAUUAUAGAUUUAUUUAUCAUUACACAGUCAUACCAAUAACACAGUUUCAUGACCUCAUUGAAGAUAUGUCUUUUUUUUUUCUUCUUACGUUUAAAAGUUUCAAACAUCUGAGAGUAAGACAAGAUAAUUCAUACCUAAGGUCUUACAUCAAAUAUCAACCUCUAGGCGAAACAAACUAGAUUGUAGAGACAAACAAAGGAGAUGAAUAGACGUACAGCAGACUGGCUGUUUCCCCAUGUUUACAGUUUUAGACCACUAGCUGCAGCUUGGAAGGUGACUCAAUCAUUCAUGUGAUACUGGACAAGGGAGUGAAAAAGUAUGAUUUUCAAUAUAAAAUGUUAUACCCUAGCAUUCAUUAAGCUCCAACACCUCUGCUGGAGGAGGACACGUGCACACCUGCUCAGUACAAAAGUACAGAGGGUGCCCGGCUGCACCGUGUGCUCUGUCUGUGUGAGGGUGAGACAUGUCCGGGCCGAAGGAUGGGUUCUCUGAGGGCGAAGUGUGCCUGAGCCGGGAUCAGAUUCACGUUAUAUAAGAUGGGGAGAUGUAUGAAAGUAGGUUGAUUAGGUGAGUGUGACGGUCUGUAAAGGCCAUGUGACAAAUUUACUAAAGGCUUCUGUAGGAUGGUGCUCUCAAUUUCAGUAAUGCAUCUCUUAAGAAAGAACGUAUACUUAAUAUUUUAUAUGUUUACGUAAGGUAAGCUGGGUGAUGAUACACUUCAGUCUGUGUUAUCAAAACAUGUACUAUGUCGGUAUUUGUACUAUGUCGAAAUAUUUUUUACUUAUUUAAUUAUUUACCUCCUUUUUACUGACUGUAUUUUUUCUAAGUGUGCGCUUGUUUUUGUAUUUGAGUGAUUUGUGAAACGUGUUAAAGGUUUGUAUCACUUUGGCUGGAGAAUAAUCUGUACUGAAUGUAUGUCCUUGACAACUUUUGUUCACUGAAUUAAACAAGUUAAAAAGAUGGAAUAACUAGGAAAAAGUCUUUUUUUCCCUCUGAUUUAAAAUGUCAAUGUUAAUCUGCGAGGUGAACUGCUACAAAGGCUUUUUACAGAUUUGCUUUUAUUCAUUACGGCUGACCUGUGAUCUAAAGUACAUUUUAGGAAAGUUAUUAUCAUGCAAAACACUUUCGAAUAACUAAAUGCAGUGAGUAGGCUGUAUGCAAUUGCUAGUUUUUCUACAGUAUUUCUACACAUACUUGCAUUUUUGACCUUUUCUGUCACCCUAAACAGCUCACAUCAAACAGCACACUCUGAUGGGUUACGUAUUUUAGUGACAGGAGGUAUUUGAAAAACCUCCAUUCAAACUUGAGUCAUCAAACGGGCCAAAAAAGUGUGUGUGCAAUACCUGUUUUGUUUCUCCUGAGCAAACCACACAUUUGCAUAUUAACUUGAUACGAGUUAGGGCACAUUUAAAUGUACGAUGGCUUUGUUGGUGCAAUUUUCUCCUGAUAGCUCAGUGGACACAUGAUAGCCCUAUAAUCCUAUACAGCACGUACCAGGCUUACUCAAACUACAAUGCAUCACAUUAUGGUGACAAAAGAAAAGCCCUGAGGGAGGAUGAGGAUAGUAUAGCAUGUAGGGUUUUAAUAUACAGUAAUGUAUUGUUUUCCGAUAAAGAGAGACCCAAAACAACCUGAUGAACACAACUCUGCUUUUGCACAGAGACAGACACGCAUUGUUUAAAAAGAGAGAACACAUGCUAUAUUGUUUACCGUACAGAAAUACGCAUUAACUGCAAAGUCUUGACAAGAAAGAGUUGUGUUUUCCAGGUGGGGAAACUCCUCAGGCACAUCCGCCCGCCUUCGGCACUUCCAACACAAUAACAGGACUGCAGACAUGUAACGGCACGACUAGAUCAAAGCCUCGCUCCUCUG